This 1269-nucleotide ribosomal RNA is filed under the name Staphylinidae sp. BMNH 1274634. RNAcentral's name for it is "16S ribosomal RNA". The stretch from base 1024 to 1182 matches the Rfam family "Archaeal large subunit ribosomal RNA", at positions 2542 to 2701 of the family's 2987-position model. Lineage: Eukaryota; Metazoa; Arthropoda; Insecta; Coleoptera; Staphylinidae. The record is from RNAcentral.
AUUUAAUGAAUUAUAUUUAAUUAUUUAAAAAAAAAAAUUUUAAUUUUAGUAUUUUUAUGAAUAAUUUUUAUUUAUUAUAGUGAAUUAGUAUAGUGAUAGAAUUUUAUAAAAUUUUUUUAAGAAAAAUUAAUUUUUUGUACCUUGUGUAUCAGGGAUUAUUAAUUAAAAUUUUUAUAUUAAAAUUUCUCGAUUUUGAAAGAGUUAAAGUUAUAUUAUGUUAUUGUUGAAUAAAUAUUUAAAAUAUAAUUUUGGUAGUGAAAUGUUAUUCGUAUUUAAAUAUAUCUAGUUUUUUAAGAAAUAAAUUUAAUUUAUAACUAAUAUUUUAAUUUUUUAUUUUAUUUAUAUAAUUAGAUAUUAGAUUUAAUAUAUUUUGGGAUAAGCUAGAAUAUAAAUAUUUAAAAAUUAAUUUUUAACAAAAAUAAAUAUAGGAUUAGUAUUUUUUAUUAUUUAAUAUGUUAUAAUUAAUAUUAUAAAUUUAUGAUUUAUAUUAAUUUUAAAUUUUUUAUUAAAAAGAUUUAUUUUAUUUAAAUUUAAAUGUUAUAAUGAUAGUAUUAGUAUAAUAAAUUGUAAUUUUAAAUUAAAAUAUUAGGUUAAUUUAAGGAAUUCGGCAAAUAUAAUUUUCGCCUGUUUAAUAAAAACAUGUCUUUUUGAUUAUAAUUUAAAGUCUGACCUGCCCACUGAAUUUUAAAUGGCCGCAGUAUUUUGACUGUGCAAAGGUAGCAUAAUAAUUAGUUUUUUAAUUGAAAGCUGGAAUGAAUGGUUUCACGAGAAAUUAUCUGUCUCAAAUUAAUUUAUUUAGAAUUUUAUUUUUAAGUUAAAAAGCUUAAAUUUAAUUUAAAGACGAGAAGACCCUAUAGAGUUUUAUAAUUUAAUAAAUUAUUUUUUUUAGUAUAUAUUUAUAUGGUUUAUAAAAAUUAUUUUGUUGGGGUGAUAGAAAAAUUUAAUUAACUUUUUUUAUUUUUAAACAAAAAUAAAUGAAUUAUUGAUCCAAAAAUUUUGAUUAUAAGAUUAAAUUACCUUAGGGAUAACAGCGUAAUUUUAUUAAAGAGUUCUAAUCGAAAAUAAAGUUUGCGACCUCGAUGUUGGAUUAAAAUUAAUUUUUGGUGUAGAAGCUAAAAUAUUAAGUCUGUUCGACUUUUAAAAUUUUACAUGAUCUGAGUUUAAACCGGCGUGAGCCAGGUUGGUUUCUAUCUUAAAUUAUUUAAAAUAUUUUAGUACGAAAGGACCAAAUAUUUAUAAUAUUUAUUAAAUAAGAUUAAAAAUGUUAUU